RNAcentral lists this ribosomal RNA (253 nucleotides) under uncultured bacterium. Its description in RNAcentral is "partial 16S ribosomal RNA". It matches the Rfam family "Bacterial small subunit ribosomal RNA", at positions 524 to 776 of the family's 1533-position model. The record is from RNAcentral.
UACGUAGGGUGCAAGCGUUGCCCGGAUUCAUUGGGCGUAAAGGGUGCGUAGGCGGCGGGGCAAGUCUGAUGUGAAAUCCCGGGGCUCAACCCCGGAACUGCAUUGGAUACUGCCUUGCUUGAGUACUGGAGAGGGAACUGGAAUUUACGGUGUAGCAGUGAAAUGCGUAGAUAUCGUAAGGAAGGCCAGUGGCGAAGGCGAGUUCCUGGACAGUUACUGACGCUGAGGCACGAAGGCCAGGGGAGCAAACGGG